RNAcentral lists this transfer RNA (75 nucleotides) under Nocardia uniformis. RNAcentral describes it as "tRNA-Val". It matches the Rfam family "tRNA". Rfam says of the family: Transfer RNA (tRNA) molecules are approximately 80 nucleotides in length. Their secondary structure includes four short double-helical elements and three loops (D, anti-codon, and T loops). Further hydrogen bonds mediate the characteristic L-shaped molecular structure. tRNAs have two regions of fundamental functional importance: the anti-codon, which is responsible for specific mRNA codon recognition, and the 3' end, to which the tRNAs corresponding amino acid is attached (by aminoacyl-tRNA synthetases). tRNAs cope with the degeneracy of the genetic code in two manners: having more than one tRNA (with a specific anti-codon) for a particular amino acid; and 'wobble' base-pairing, i.e. permitting non-standard base-pairing at the 3rd anti-codon position. The record is from RNAcentral. Lineage: Bacteria; Bacillati; Actinomycetota; Actinomycetes; Mycobacteriales; Nocardiaceae.
GGUCUCAUAGCUCAGCGGGAGAGCACUCGCCUCACACGCGAGGGGUCGCUGGUUCAAACCCAGCUGGGACCACCA